This 2916-nucleotide long non-coding RNA is filed under the name Canis lupus familiaris (dog). Its description in RNAcentral is "lncRNA (ENSCAFG00000054251.1, ENSCAFG00805013891.1, ENSCAFG00845005408.1)". Lineage: Eukaryota; Metazoa; Chordata; Mammalia; Carnivora; Canidae. The record is from RNAcentral.
UUUUCUCUGUAACCCUCAAUAAAGUUAUAUAUGUCUUUAAAGUAUGAAAAUGAAGUAUUUCUAGUUAUCUCUUCUGGAUUCAGAUGACCCAGAAUUUUUUAAUCCAUGUGAAUUUCUGCAGAGAUCUUGCUAUGUGCUAGUUUUAGUCACAUGUGGAUUCGGGAAGAGCAGAAUUAUUUGUGUAUGAAAUUACCUGUGCUGUGUUAAUUAAUGCAGAUAUCUAAUGACUUUUCAUGAUUUCCAGAUUUUUAGGCACCCUGGAUGGUACCCUGAUGGUUCAAAUGAAUUAGUCUAUGCAUUAUAUAUAAGUGCAAAAUGUUUAAACUUAUUCUCUCCUAUUCUAAUAGAAGUAAGGCAUUUUUAGCUUGCUUUGGAAAUAGCAACUCACACCAUUACAUAUUAGUUAUUUGCAAGUCUUCCUAAUAAACCCCAGGAGUAAAUUUUAAGUAAACGUAUGAUUUCUAAAAAUAUAACAAUUAUCAUUAGAGAGUGCUAGGUUUUAAGUAAUAGAAACUUAGUUCAAACUUCAGUACAGUUUAAUUAGAAUAAGGAAUUUAUUAGUCCAUUUAGCUAGGACACCAGGAUGGCUGAUAAGACCAAAGAUGAACCAUUUGUAUCAGGGCCUCAAAGUUUAGAACUGCUUGCUUUCUUGCUUGCUUGAAAAAAAGAUUUUAUUUAUUUUAUUUAUUUAUUUAUUUAUUUAUUUAUUUUUUUAAAAAAGAUUUUAUUUAUUUAUUCAUUUAUGAGAUACAGAGAGAGAGAGAGAGGCAGAGACAUAGGCAGAGGGAGAAGCAGGUUUCCCACCUGAUCCCUGGACCACGGGAUCACGGUCUGAGGCUCAACUGCUGAGCCACCCCGGCGUCCCUAGAACUGCUAGACAAUCAGAAGAAAUACUUUAUAAAGAUAGAUUGUCAAAUCAAAAGCUGUUGAAGCGUAUUCCUUAUUGAGUAUGCAUUCUUGAAUCCAAAUAAGAUAAAUAGAUUUGAGAAAAUGAUCUGCUAAACCCAUUGUAGGCAUAUGAGAAGAUGUUUUCUCAUGUUAGAAAAUUUCCUAAGUAGAAUAAUUGGUAUGGCACACUGGAGGGAAGGACAGUUGAAUUAGGGAUUGUUGUGUUAGGAAAAUAAAUUAACAUACCCAAUAUUUUCCUUUGCUUAUAUUUCUUCCACAGAAGAGUCACAAAGAAAUGAUAGACUGCAGCUUUAAAAAAAAAUUAUUUUAGAAUUUUGCUAAAUUAGCAGGAGGGGGCCAUUACAUUUGUUGUUGAUAUUAAAAUAUGAGUAAGCCCUCAUUGAUUUGAUAGUUAAUUCCAAAAUAAGGAAUUUUAGUUAUCAGUGAAUGGUAAUUUCAGUAUUUCUUCUUUAUUGCAGCAAUUCAUAAACAAAUACAUAUGUAUUUCUUUCAUACAAUGAAAAUAAUAUGAAUUGCCUAGGAUUCAUAAGAAGCUUCUAAAAUACUUCACCUUGAGUGAUAUAUAUGUAUGGUGUAAAUUGAAGCAAAUUCUCCAAAUCAACAUUCAUCAUGUGUAAUAGCUGUAGAAGUCAGAGGCAUUCCGUUUGUGUUGUUGCAAGCCAAUUGGCCUUUAUAAUCUGGUAGUAACAGAAUCAGUGGUAUAUAAAAUAGAAGUUGUUAUAUUUUAAUAAAGCAAACAUGGAUUUAAAAUAGUUUGUUAUGUUUAUAAUAGCAUAUUUGACAAAAUGAACAAGACUUAUCAAAAACUGCUUUUAUAAAUUUUGGUCUAAAUGGUUCUCAAGUUAUUCAUGCUAUGGUAACACAUUACAAAUAAUAAAUAAACUGCAAUUAUUUAUAAUGAAUUCACUUUGUCAAGAGAUUGUGACCACAGAAUACAGCUCAGAUGACACUUGUGUCAAAGAACAUAAAUUGGCUCAAAUAGCUCAAAAGAUCCUGCCUGGAUCUAAGGAUUUAAAUAAUGUCAUCAGAAUUCAGGCUUAUGACACUGCUUUCAUAUGUGGCUUCAUUCUUAAGAGCCUCUCUCCUGUCAUAGGGGCAAGAAAGCUGCCUGUUGCUUCAAGCCCAUAUCCCACUUUUCAGCAACCUCAGUGGAAAGAAAGUGUGCCUCUUUUUCAGCAGUUCCAAUAAAGUCAGAAUUAUGCCUCAUUGGCUCUGACUGGUUUAACUUUAGUCAUUUGCCAUAUCUAGAACUAAUCACUGUGGCCAGAGAGAUGUGAUAUUAGGAUAAGCUACUCCUGGAUUGGGGUAAGGAGUGGGGUGUUGCUCUGAAGAAAAAUGAUAUUGAUCCCUGAAAAAGGAUAAAUAGAUCCAGGGUAGUAAAAACUUAUAAAUACCUGACAAAUGAUUCCUUUUAUUUUUUAAUUUUUUUAAAAGAUUUUAUUUAUUUAUUCAUAAGAGACAGAGGGAGAGGCAGAGACAUGGGCAGAAGCAGACUUCCUGUGGGGAGCGUGAUAUGGGACUUGAUCUCAGGACUCUGGAAUCAUGACCUGAGCCAAAGGCAGAUGCUCAACCACUGAACCACCCAGGUGCCCCAAAUGAUUCCUAUUUAUUGAUUGAUUGAUUGAUUUUAAAGAUUUUAUUUAUUUAUUCAUGAGAGACACAUAGAGAGGCAGAGACAUAGGCAGAGGGAGGAGAAGCAGGCUCCAUGCAAGGAGCCCAAUCCGGGAUCAGGCCCUGAGCCAAAGGCAGAUGCCCAACUGGUGAGCCACUCAGGUGUCCCAUGAUUCCUUUGUAAAAUGAAUAUAUUUUUGAGAGGCACCUGGGUGUCUCAGUUGGUGAAGUGUUCAACUCUUGAUUUUGGAUCUCAGGGUUGUGAGAUCAAGCCCCACUUUGGGCUCAGCAUGUUGAGUAUGGAGCCUGCUUAAGAUUCUCUCUCUCUCUCUCUCUCUCUCUCUUUCCCAUCCCUCUCUUCUUCCCCAUCGCCCUCACAUGCUCUCUCUCUCAAAA